GCAUAUCAAUAAGCGGAGGAAAAGAAACUAACAAGGAUUCCCCUAGUAACGGCGAGUGAAGCGGGAAGAGCUCAAAUUUGAAAUCUAAUGGCCUCAGGUCAUUCGAGUUGUAAUCUAUAGGAACGUUUUCCGUGCCGGCUCAUGUACAAGUCCCUUGGAACAGGGCGUCAUAGAGGGUGAGAAUCCCGUACUUGACAUGAACUACCGGUGCUCUGUGAUACGUCUCCAACGAGUCGAGUUGUUUGGGAAUGCAGCUCAAAAUGGGUGGUAAAUUCCAUCUAAAGCUAAAUAUUGGUGUGAGACCGAUAGCGAACAAGUACCGUGAGGGAAAGAUGAAAAGCACUUUGGAAAGAGAGUUAAAAAGUAUGUGAAAUUGUUGAAAGGGAAACGAUUGAAGUCAGUCAUGUCCUUCAGAUUCAGCUGGUUCUGCCGGUGUAUUUCUGUUGGAUGGGGUCAACAUCAGUUUUGGAUGCCGGAUAAAGGCAGGAGGAAGGUAGUACUCUCGGGUAAACUUAUAGCCUCCUGUUGCAUACGGUGACUGGGACUGAGGAACGCAGCUUGCCUUUAUGGCCGGGGUUCGCCCACGUACAAGCUUAGGAUGUUGACAUAAUGGCUUUAAA
RNAcentral lists this ribosomal RNA (620 nucleotides) under Piskurozyma filicata. RNAcentral's name for it is "eukaryotic LSU rRNA". It matches the Rfam family "Eukaryotic large subunit ribosomal RNA", at positions 38 to 644 of the family's 3401-position model. Lineage: Eukaryota; Fungi; Basidiomycota; Tremellomycetes; Filobasidiales; Piskurozymaceae. The record is from RNAcentral.